RNAcentral lists this ribosomal RNA (649 nucleotides) under uncultured bacterium. RNAcentral's name for it is "bacterial SSU rRNA". It matches the Rfam family "Bacterial small subunit ribosomal RNA", at positions 796 to 1442 of the family's 1533-position model. The record is from RNAcentral.
CACGCGUAAACGUUGUGCGCUAGGUGUAGGAGGUAUCGACCCCUUUCUGUGCCGCAGCUAACGCAUUAAGCGCACCGCCUGGGGAGUACGGUCGCAAGACUGAAACUCAAAGGAAUUGACGGGGGCCCGCACAAGCGGUGGAGCAUGUGGCUUAAUUCGAGGCAACGCGAAGAACCUUACCCAGGCUUGACAUCCCUUGACAGCCCAUGAAAGUGGGUUUUCUCUUCGGAGACAAGGAGACAGGUGUUGCAUGGCUGUCGUCAGCUCGUGUCGUGAGAUGUUGGGUUAAGUCCCGCAACGAGCGCAGCCCUUGUCCUCAGUUACCAGCGGGUUAUGCCGGGCACUCUGAGGAGACUGCCGAUGAUAAGUCGGAGGAAGGUGGGGACGACGUCAAGUCAUCACGGCCCUUACGCCUGGGGCUACACACGUGCUACAAUGGUCGGUACAGAGGGACGCAAGAUCGCGAGAUGGAGCCAAUCCCAAAAAGCCGGCCUCAGUUCGGAUUGCAGUCUGCAACUCGACUGCAUGAAGUCGGAAUCGCUAGUAAUCGUGGAUCAGCUACGCCACGGUGAAUACGUUCCCGGGCCUUGUACACACCGCCCGUCACACGACCCGAGUUGGGUGCACCCGAAGUCACUGGCUCAACCCG